AUUGAACGCUGGCGGCAGGCCUAACACAUGCAAGUCGAGCGGAGCGGCGGACGGGUGAGUAAUGACUAGGAAGCUGCCUGGUAGUGGGGGAUAACGUCCGGAAAGGGGCGCUAAUACCGCAUACUAACAGAUGAGCCUAGGGCGGAUUAGCUAGUUGGUGGGGUAAAGGCCUACCAAGGCGACGAUCCGUCACGGGUCUGAGAGGAUGAUCAGUCAACCUGGAACUGAGACACGGUCCAGACUCCUCCGGGAGGCAGCAGUGGGGAAUAUUGGACAAGGGGGGAAAGCCUGAUCCAGACAUGCCGCUUGGGUGAAGAAGGUCUUCGGAUUGUAAAGCACUUUAAGUUGGGAGGCGGUACCUACAGAAUAAGCACCGGCUAACUUCGUGCCAGCCGCCGCGGUAAUUC
RNAcentral lists this ribosomal RNA (407 nucleotides) under uncultured bacterium. Its description in RNAcentral is "partial 16S ribosomal RNA". It matches the Rfam family "Bacterial small subunit ribosomal RNA", at positions 30 to 526 of the family's 1533-position model. The record is from RNAcentral.